UCGGCCAGCAGGGGCUGCAGGGAUGAAGCAGCGGGAGGGAAGGGAAGGUGUGGAGGUGGUGAUGUUGUCCCCUCCGUGCCUUGGCGCAGGAACGAGCGAGGAGAGGGUGCAUGGCACAAGUGUCGCUCCAGUUCCGUGUCUGCACUUCUGGGAAGUUUCCUCUUCUCAGUGGUGGCAGCUGCAGAACAGGAUUGGGCAGAAAUCACACGUGAAGCAAAAUCAUGAGAGAGCUCUCCAUCCUCUUUUGUUUCCGUUUUGAAGGGACAGCGAGAGGAACGACACGGAAUUCAGGUCCAGGAUAGAAUGGGAUUAUUUCAUUGAUUACCACCUCAUUUAUAUAACUUGAUUCGCAAGAGUGGCAAAACAUUAUUGGGUGCUUGACCAUCCACCUCCCAGAGUGAUUGGCUGAACUGUAUAACACCUAUUUCAAAAUAUUUUCUUCAGUGUACCGUAACAAAACAAGUUUGCACCUGUGAGAUAAAGCCUUGGUUUACGAAAUAGCAAACCGUUUCUCAGCUCGUUUGUGUGAGAACGAAGACUUUCACAAGAGCCAAGCAGGAAAAUUUCUCUGCCAGCUUUUUUAGCAUCCAAAAUGUGGUUACUUGUGGAGGCAAAGUCAAGCCAUAAUUUCAGAAAGGCUGGUUCCUGAAGGUGAAGCCUGUGAGACUGAGAGCCUGCAAGGCUCCUCCAGUGACAUUGGUAUUUCCCUUGUUUUCUGCCCAGUAAAUUCAGAUUCUGUAACAUUAAUGACUGCUGAAGAUUUCAACAACCCAUAUUCUCACUCUCUGUAUUGGAAGGGGGGAAAUAAUAAAAUUAAUGUAUCCCUUAA
Long non-coding RNA from Corvus hawaiiensis (hawaiian crow), 829 nucleotides. RefSeq lists it as uncharacterized. Lineage: Eukaryota; Metazoa; Chordata; Aves; Passeriformes; Corvidae. The record is from RefSeq and is a predicted model, not a curated record. The transcript has 2 exons.